UUCCGUAGUGAACCUGCGGAAGGAUCAUUGUCGAAACCUGCCCAGCAGAACGACCCGCGAACAAGUGAAAAAAACAUACCGGCGGUGCGGGGGCGCGUCAGCCCCCCGCUCGUCGCGUCGCGGGCGGUGCGGUCGGCUUCUCGUCCGCGAGCGUCGCUCCGUCCCGGCCCGCGGCACAACAACGAACCCCGGCGCGGACCGCGCCAAGGAAAUUCUAACGAGAGAGCUCGCUCCCGCCGCCCCGGAGACGGUGCGCGCGCGGGCAGCGGCGCCUUCUUACACAAUCCAAAACGACUCUCGGCAACGGAUAUCUAGGCUCUCGCAUCGAUGAAGAACGUAGCGAAAUGCGAUACUUGGUGUGAAUUGCAGAAUCCCGUGAACCAUCGAGUCUUUGAACGCAAGUUGCGCCCCAAGCCUUUAGGCCGAGGGCACGUCUGCCUGGGUGUCACGCAUCGUCGCCCCCCCCAACCCCCCGCACCCCGGGGAGGAACGCGGGCGGGGCGGAGAAUGGCCUCCCGUGCGCCGCUCGGCUCGCGGUUGGCCCAAAUCCGAGUCCCCGGCUUCGCGCGCCGCGACUUUCGGUGGUCGAAACGAACGUCGAUGUCCCGUCGCGCCCGCGUCGUCGCAGCACGGACUCCCGGACCCUGACGCGUCGCCACGCCGCGACGCUCGCUUCGCGA
RNAcentral lists this ribosomal RNA (680 nucleotides) under Protium calanense. RNAcentral's name for it is "eukaryotic LSU rRNA". The stretch from base 293 to 448 matches the Rfam family "5.8S ribosomal RNA". Lineage: Eukaryota; Viridiplantae; Streptophyta; Magnoliopsida; Sapindales; Burseraceae. The record is from RNAcentral.